ACGUAGGGGGCGAGCGUUGUCCGGAUUUACUGGGCGUAAAGAGCGCGUAGGUGGUUGGGUAGGUUGGUGGUGAAAGGUUGGGGCUUAACCCCAAGAGGUCCACCAAGACCGCCCGACUGCGAGGGCAGUAGAGGACGGUAGAAUUCCGGGUGUAGUGGUGAAAUGCGUAGAGAUCCGGAGGAAUACCGGUGGCGAAGGCGGCCGUCUGGGCUGUCCCUGACACUGAGGCGCGAAAGCGUGGGGAGCGAACUGAAUUAGAUACUCAGGUAGUCCACGCCCUCAACGAUGGACACUAGGUGUGGGGGGUAUCGACCCCUCCCGUGCCGGAGCUAACGCAGUAAGUGUCCCGCCUGGGGAGUACGGCCGCAAGGCUA
This 374-nucleotide ribosomal RNA is filed under the name uncultured bacterium. RNAcentral's name for it is "bacterial SSU rRNA". It matches the Rfam family "Bacterial small subunit ribosomal RNA", at positions 525 to 896 of the family's 1533-position model. The record is from RNAcentral.